UUGCUUCAGUAGCACAUAUAUUAAAAUUGGAAUGAUACAGAGAAGAUCAGGAUGACCCCUGGGCAAGGAUGACAUACAAAUUCAUGAAGCAUUCCAUAUCUUU
This is a small nuclear RNA of Nycticebus coucang (slow loris), 103 nucleotides long. Lineage: Eukaryota; Metazoa; Chordata; Mammalia; Primates; Lorisidae. The record is from RefSeq and is a predicted model, not a curated record.